CUCUCCGGUGAGAUACUGACUGUACCUGCAGAGCUAGAUUGCUUUUAUCCCUGAACUAUAUACUGCAGACACUCAAGAUUGGUGCCAGAAGAGGAGAAAGGGUCACAGUGGGUAGAGGAAUGAGAGAUGUGGAAUAAGAAGAAUCUCAGCUGAAAUGUAUCACUGUGGUCUGACUUUGAUGUCUUGACUGGCACUUGGGGAUGACACAGAGGAGCAUAAUACAACUACUUUCCACAAGUUCAAGUAAUAUAUCCCUUCAGGAAACUUUAAAUCCAUGAAUAAAACAUAGUACAGUAAGAAGAACUGAUGUUUAAGAAUUACCACAGCCUGAACAGAAGCAUGAGCCAUAUGACAGGCCUAAGGAAUGCUAUGGAACUACAUAUUCCAAGUAUGGACCAACUUGGAAUUCAUACGACGAUAAUUUAAAGUAGCAAGGUAAGAAAGGCCUCUCCUCUUAGUAGAUAUGCAUGUGUUUCUGUCAGUUCUCUGAUGGGA
Cavia porcellus (domestic guinea pig) is the source of this 495-nucleotide long non-coding RNA. RefSeq lists it as uncharacterized. The record is from RefSeq and is a predicted model, not a curated record. The transcript has 3 exons. Lineage: Eukaryota; Metazoa; Chordata; Mammalia; Rodentia; Caviidae.